UGAAGGAGUGGAAUAGUUUAAAGUUUGAAUGGUUGAAAUCGGACAAAGUUUGAAGGAGGAGAAGCGUGACAAAAAACGGCGGAAGAAUAAAAAUAAGAUUAAAGAAACAGGAGAAUAACAAUAAGUGGAAAUGCUUAAUCAGCAUUUCCACUUAAUAAAGAAAAAUGGCCGACAGGAAUAACAAUAAGUGGAAAUGCUUAAUCAGCAUUUCCACUUAAUAAUAAAGAAAAAUGGCCGACAGGAAUAACAAUAAGUGGAAAUGCUUAAUCAGCAUUUCCACUUAAUAAAGAAAAAUGGCCGACAGGAAUAACAAUAAGUGGAAAUGCUUAAUCAGCAUUUCCACUUAACUAGAAAAAUUGCAUUUCCUUGCAGAAAAUGCGUGGAAAUGCUGAGUGCUGAAAGCUGAAAAAGCAAUGCUAAACUGCUAAUAAAACAUGGAGAAAGGUAUAAAUGUUAAAGCUGUUGAAGGGGUGAACAGAAAUAUAAGUUGGAUAAUUGAUUAAUUGGUUGAAGGACAAAUAGUAUGAAUAUGCUCUAUAAAAGGAAAUUUUAUUCAUGCUGAAAGAGGCUAGAAAAAUGUCGAAAAUUGCACAAAGUUUGAAUGAAGAAGGAAAUUGCCUUAAAAGGCAGGAAGGUGAGAAGUGGCAUAAGUUUAAAUUGUAGUACUAGAAGUAGUAUGAUAAAAAGUCAAGUUGUGAUACUAGUAGUCAUGUCAGCAGUAGAAGUAGAUUGAGAAUAAAAGAAGAAUAAGUCAAAGUAGUAAAGAAAGUAGAAAUAGGAGCAAUAGCAGUUGAAGUAGAGGGGAAAGUUCUAGUUUAAUUGACAUUAGCAGUAGUUGUCGUACUUGAGGUAGGAUUUUGUUUGAAUGAUGGAGUAAUGCAUAAAUAUUAAAACUAGUAUCAGAAAGUUUUGAAGUAUUAGAAAGGUUUGAAUCAGUUUGAAUGAGUUUAAAUUAGUUUGAAAAAUUAAAUGAUAAAUCAUCACUGACUGACUUUUAAAAUGUGAAAAAUUUAAAUGAAUAACAAUCCUAAAUACACCCAAUAAUGUCCUCAAUGAGCUUAAAUUUCAAAGCCCUGAAUGGUUUCUGUAGGUCAAAGGUCAUGUGAGGAGCUAGGGGCUGAAGUUUUUUCCAACGCUCUAGGAAAAGGUUUUAAGUGUCAUCCCAAUUGCUAUGUGUACUGAGCCUGGCUUCAUGUGUCUCAUAUGGCCACUAGAAGCAGCUUUCCAGUCAGCUGUGUGUCUCCAGGUGCACAAAUUGGUUGCCAUGGGGACCUUGGAUGCAUAACUAUAGCAGGAGAAAGAAGGCUUGAAGCUAAAGAAACAGGACUCCAAGUAGGCCCUGACGCUCACCCUCUGUAUAUAUUCAUAAGGAGCUUGUGAGAACACAAGACUCUGCUGAACACAUUAAUACAAUUUAUUAUCACAAUCCUCAAAACACCCCAUAAUAUCUUCAAUGAGCUGAAUUUUAGAAGCCCAGAAUGGUUUCUGUAGCUCAAAGUUUGUGGGUGGAGAUAGGUGGCGAAGCAGACACAUAUUAACUGUGUGUACAAGCAGCUGAACUGCAAGGUAGACCUCAUAAAGCAACAACUACAAGAAUGUGUGUGUGUGUGUGUGUGUGUGUCUCGUUAAUGACUGCAUCCUAAACAGCUGUGAGAUCAAAGGCAAAUCACUGACCUACUGUUUGAAUGAGAAGCAGCUGAACUGCAGAGGAUUUAGAGGCUCUAAACUUCUUCACAUAGCGUGAUUUCCUUAAGUCCCAGAAUGAAAAUAAGAACAUCGUACGAAUCCUCCGCCCUUCAUGAACACAAUGAUGUCUUUUUCAUGUCUGUACUCCGAAAAAUGUGGCCACAACAGCGAGUUAAAAAAGUCUGAGCCUGAGUGGGGAUAAGGAUUUUCUUGGAGAAGAAAUACAUUAGGUCUAAUGGGGAGAGAUUUCCGCCUAUUUGGACAGUUGGUCACCUGCUGGCCAAGGGGUAAGAUUUAAUGAUUUGAAACCUCUUUUGUGAGAAGCAGGACACAUAUACCUCCAUUUUGAUGUAUUUUUUAUGGGUGUGGAUUGAGAUUUGUGAGCGUGGGAGCGAUAUAUUCGAGCGAGGUUCUGUCGAUCAGAGACGAGGUCUGCACUCUAGCUUUUCAAAUC
Non-coding RNA from Xyrichtys novacula (pearly razorfish), 2140 nucleotides. Lineage: Eukaryota; Metazoa; Chordata; Actinopteri; Labriformes; Labridae. The record is from the annotation of a GenBank genome assembly.